Molecule: ribosomal RNA, 129 nt
Filed under: Pteropus alecto (black flying fox)
Lineage: Eukaryota; Metazoa; Chordata; Mammalia; Chiroptera; Pteropodidae
Source: RNAcentral
GUCUAUGGCCAUGCCAUCCUGAACGUGCCCGAUCCCGUCUGAUCUUGGAAGCUAUGCAGGGUCAGGCCAGGUUAGUACUUGGAUGGGAGACCACAGGAGACCACCUAGGAAUACCAGGUGCUGUAGGCA